UGCGUAGGUGGUUUUUUAAGUCCGUUGUGAAAUCCCUGGGCUCAACCUGGGAAUGGCAGUGGAUGCUGGAAGGCUAGAGUGCGGUAGAGGGUAGUGGAAUUCCCGGUGUAGCAGUGAAAUGCGUAGAGAUCGGGAGGAACACCAGUGGCGAAGGCGGCUACCUGGACCAGCACUGACACUGAAGCACGAAAGCGUGGGGAGCAAACA
This 207-nucleotide ribosomal RNA is filed under the name uncultured bacterium. RNAcentral's name for it is "partial 16S ribosomal RNA". It matches the Rfam family "Bacterial small subunit ribosomal RNA", at positions 568 to 774 of the family's 1533-position model. The record is from RNAcentral.